GACGAACGCUGGCGGCGUGCUUAACACAUGCAGGUCGAACGGAAAGGCCCUGCUUUUGUGGGGUGCUCGAGUGGCGAACGGGUGAGUAACACGUGAGUAACCUGCCCUUGACUUUGGGAUAACUUCAGGAAACUGGGGCUAAUACCGGAUAGGAGCUCCUGCUGCAUGGUGGGGGUUGGAAAGUUUCGGCGGUUGGGGAUGGACUCGCAGCUUAUCAGCUUGUUGGUGGGGUAGUGGCUUACCAAGGCUUUGACGGGUAGCCGGCCUGAGAGGGUGACCGGCCACAUUGGGACUGAGAUACGGCCCAGACUCCUACGGGAGGCAGCAGUGGGGAAUAUUGCACAAUGGGCGGAAGCCUGAUGCAGCAACGCCGCGUGCGGGAUGACGGCCUUCGGGUUGUAAACCGCUUUCGCCUGUGACGAAGCGUGAGUGACGGUAAUGGGUAAAGAAGCACCGGCUAACUACGUG
This 468-nucleotide ribosomal RNA is filed under the name uncultured bacterium. Its description in RNAcentral is "partial 16S ribosomal RNA". It matches the Rfam family "Bacterial small subunit ribosomal RNA", at positions 28 to 507 of the family's 1533-position model. The record is from RNAcentral.